GCCGCAGAAAGGUAAAGAACUUCUCCUUCUUCAGUACCUCAGACAAUCUCUCUCCUAAAUCCCAAUCCAUCUCUGCCGCUCCCUCAACCGCCGUUACGAUCUCCACUCGUCCUCAACCUUUCGACCCCUCCUCUCAAAGCUCUCUUUCCCCUAUUCCCGAAACCCUAAUGGGCGAAAGCUCGUGGAGGCCAUAGCUGAAGAUCUGAGGUCGGGUUUGGAAAACCUAAUUGGCAAAUGGUCUUCUGGUGUGGGAACUUCGAUUCAAGGUAUGCGGUUACGGAUUUUCAAACUCUAACCGGUGAAGGAACUUCUCUAACCUCUCUCAUCAUCUUUCUUUGCCUCUAUGCAUUCAUGUGGAUGGGUAAUCAGAUUUGAUUAUUAACUGUAGUUGUUCAACUAUUGAGGCUUUAGAGACAAUUGGGGAUCUUUUGUUCAGUUGGGUUUCCAAUUGUUAUUGUUUACUUUUAGUGAAUUCGUUUCAUGUUAUUGUUCGAUUGAACUUUCUCUAAUCAAAACAAUAAACCCUCAAAAUUACUAAAUGAUUAGGGGUUUUCUGUACUUGUUUCUUAUUUCAGAAAAUCCCAAUGAGCUUAGUUUUUGGAUUCUGUCAUACUUAAUGGUAAAUGGCCAAAUAGAAAAUACGGACGAGUUCCUUUGUUUGUUUUUAUGUUUUUGUUUUUCUUCUUUGUUACAGAAUAGCUGAGAGUUGCAAUUCAGAUAUGAAAAAUUGUGUGAGAGUCAAAUUCUAUGUGCUCAUUAUAGUUUAGUUUCAAAGUAUGCUUUGGAGACAUCAGUCAUCCUAUAUAUAUUCUUUAUCUGCGAGGGCAUGGGGUGACAGUAAAAGUAAAGCCAUCUCCCAUGACCAAAUUCUCUGAUUUGGAAUUGGAAUAGAAUGGAUCAUUUGGCUUUGUUUGCAGGGUGUGAGGACAGUAGAGUUGGCUACCACGUGACUUUUUUGUAAAUUCGGUUGGUCACAUAUAUACUAGAAUAACUGGUAUAUAUAUGUUAUCUAUCCCAAGUAGAACUAAUAUAGCUAGUUUUUGAUUUACAUGAGAACAUAUUAAUGUGACUUGUGGAAUUAGGUUUUUGGCACUGCCUACAUUUGGAGAAGGGUGGCACAAUUCAAGUAUGAAAAAUUUAUUUGAGAUUCACAUUCAGUGUGCCCUUUUUAGUUUAAUUUCAAAAUAUCCUUUGGAGACAUUGGUCAUCCUAUAUAAGUAUAUAUAUUGUUUUUUCACUCUUACUCUUAUUUAGAUGGUUGGCCCUUUAACAUUGAGUACCUAUAGAAUCAGUUAUGAAUGUUAUAUUUUCAGGCUCUGAUUUUUCUGACUUUUAACUUCUCAUUGUUUGACCUUUUGUUUUGAUUAAACCUUGGUGAAGAACUAUGGAAGCAGCAUGUGAACUGGGCAAGAAAUAAGGGACAGUGCUUGACAUGAUACAAUGAUUUCUCUAAGGAACCCUGUUGUAAAGGUUUACUACAAGAACCAUGUAAUUGUAAGUGAAAAGCACAUAUUAUUCUAGUCUUAUCAGUUUGGAAAUUAAGCCUAGAGGGUUAUGAUUUAUGGCUUGUUGGGUAUGCAAAAUGUGCUUUCUUACCUUCAUUUUUUUGUUCUUCAGAUGUGUGUUGAUGUGUGUAGAUAAUCGAUUGUGUGUGUGUGUGUAUACACUGACCUUUAUUGUUUGAAGGGUUUUGUUUGAUCAACUACAGCUAGACAAUGGCAACUAGGUAAGAGAAAAACCUACAAUCUAGUUGAUGCUCUAACUCGACAUAUUGUUCAAGUAUUUAGCUUUGGUUUGUCUUUUAUUUGGACCACUUUAGAUUGCUUUGCUCUUUUUGUUGUUCAAUUUAUUGUAAUCUAAUGAUAUAUUCAUUCUAUGAUAUUUUACUGGUUAUUCGGUUUAUGUAGCUCAGUUAUGAGUCUUUUACUAUUAAGUUCAUUCUUCUUUACACAACCUGCAGGAAAGAUACAACUAGAUGAAUGCUAAAAAAAAAGAUUUAAAUUGACAUAUAAGUGGAAG
RNAcentral lists this long non-coding RNA (2019 nucleotides) under Fragaria vesca (wild strawberry). Its description in RNAcentral is "long non-coding RNA (FVES_LNC000693)". Lineage: Eukaryota; Viridiplantae; Streptophyta; Magnoliopsida; Rosales; Rosaceae. The record is from RNAcentral.